GAUGAACGCUGGCGGCGUGCCUAAUACAUGCAAGUCGAGCGACAGGACGAGAAGCUUGCUUCUUUGCUGUUAGCGGCGGAGGGGUGAGUAACACGUGGAUAACCUACUUAUAAGACUGGGAUAACUUCGGGAAACAGGUGCUACUACCGGCUGAUAUUUUCUACCGCAUGGUUCAAAAGUGCAUGACGCUUUUGCCGUCAGUUAUAGCUGGUUCCGGGCUGCAUUAGGUAGUUGGUAAGGUAACGGCUUACCAAAGCAACACCCCCUAGCCGACCUGAGAGGGUGAUCGUGCACACUGGAACUGAGACACAGUCCAGACUCCUACGGGAUGCAUCAGUGUCGCAUCUUCCCCAAUGGUCAAAAGCCUUACGCACCAACGCCCCGUGAGUGAUGAAGGUCUUCUGAUCGUAAAGCUCUGUUAUUGGGGAAUAACCGAUCUGUAAGUAACUGUCCACAUCUUAACGGUACCUAAUCAGAAAGCCACGGCUAACUACGUG
Molecule: ribosomal RNA, 497 nt
Filed under: uncultured bacterium
Lineage: Bacteria
Description: partial 16S ribosomal RNA
Rfam family: Bacterial small subunit ribosomal RNA
Source: RNAcentral